RNAcentral lists this ribosomal RNA (432 nucleotides) under Triticum aestivum (bread wheat). RNAcentral describes it as "partial small subunit ribosomal RNA". The record is from RNAcentral. Lineage: Eukaryota; Viridiplantae; Streptophyta; Magnoliopsida; Poales; Poaceae.
AUGAUCCGGCUUGGGCUGGGGUUGGCAUAUCUCUUGGUUCUGUUCCAGGUCCGUUUGUGCUAUGGAUUAAUAGUAUGCCAUCUUCAUACUCCACUUCAGGGGUUCGACGCCAUUGUCUCGCUGCGUGUAAGCCACGCAGAGAGGACGUUCCGAUCCAAAUCAUGCAGGUGGUCCUACAUCGGCGGCGUGGUGCGACCCGAGGGGUGGCUCGCGUGGGACAAAAACCAGACCACGCUCACCACGCUCUACUACGCAAAGUACAUGAACACGGGCUCCAACGCUGGCGUCGACGGCAGGGUGAGUUGGUCGGGCUACCACUUGAAUAUGAGCCAGGCCAAGGCCAAUAACUUCACCAUGGCGCAGUUCAUCUACGACAACAUGUUGCUACCGGCCACGAGCGUUGGGUUCACAUCUAGACUGCUUGCGUCUUGA